UUUGCUCCGGCCUGUUUAUCAAAAACAUGGCUCUUUGUAAACAAAAAAUAAAGAGUCGGGCCUGCCCAGUGAAUUUUAAACGGCCGCGGUACUCUGACCGUGCAAAGGUAGCAUAAUCAUUUGCCUUAUAAUUGAAGGCUAGUAUGAAUGGUUUGACGAGAGCAAUACUGUCUCCUUAUUAUUUUCAAGAACUUAACUUUUAGGUGAAGAGGCCUAAAUUUUAUUGAAGGACAAGAAGACCCUGUCGAGCUUAAAAGAUUAUAUAGGAGUCUAUAUAUCUUUAGAUAAAUUUCUAUCGAGCUUUUUAGUUGGGGCGACUGAGGAACAAAAAAAGCUUCUUUUUAAAAAAUAAACAAUCAUGUUUAGAUCCGGUAGUAGCGAUUAAGGAAAUUAGUUACCGCAGGGAUAACAGCAUAAUCUCUCUUGAGAGACCUAAUCGAAAGAGGGGGUUGUGACCUCGAUGUUGGACUAGAA
Molecule: ribosomal RNA, 474 nt
Filed under: Semisulcospira ningpoensis
Lineage: Eukaryota; Metazoa; Mollusca; Gastropoda; Semisulcospiridae
Description: partial 16S large subunit ribosomal RNA
Rfam family: Bacterial large subunit ribosomal RNA
Source: RNAcentral